This is a long non-coding RNA of Sinocyclocheilus rhinocerous, 512 nucleotides long. RefSeq lists it as uncharacterized. Lineage: Eukaryota; Metazoa; Chordata; Actinopteri; Cypriniformes; Cyprinidae. The record is from RefSeq and is a predicted model, not a curated record. The transcript is spliced from 5 exons.
AUGUUCGUUCUUCCCAGUUCCGUCUUCCUUGACCAGGUAGUUUUGCAGUAUGUGGACUGUUGGACCAUGGAGUUGUGCUGUAGUGCUUACUCAGAUUUUGAUCAUACUGGAGCAGAAUGGAUAACCUUAAAUUCAUCAGACUUUGUUUCAUAAGUCAUCCACAUACUAAAACAGGAGGAAUUCUGUAGUUCAGGAGGACCAGAGGACUUCACACGAUGAAUGGCCACAUGUGAAGGCAUUUGAGAGAUUUGUUCCUCCGAAGGCUCUGGACUGUCAAACCCACGUGGAGAAGUACAUAAUGGUCCCUCUAAGCAGUCCAGCGUUGACUAGUUAUGGGGAGAAACAUUUUAUGCAUUAAAGUUGACCUAUUCCAACCUAUUUUUUUUUUUUUUUCCUCUUUCUAAUCCUAAGAAUUAUUGCUUGUGUUUUAUGUAAGUGCAUAAAUAGUCUUGCAGCUGGCACUUACCUCUCUUACUUUUACAAUAAAACUAUUAAACCAUGAAUUGAUUUUU